CACCGCGGUUAUACGAGAGACCCCAGUUGAUUGCUACGGCGUAAAGUGUGGUUAGGGUAUAAAUAAACUAAAGCUAAAGACCACCUAAGCUGUCAAACGCAAUCCGGGGGCACGAAACUCAAACACGAAGGUAGCUUUAUGACCACCUGAAGCCACGAAAGCUAGGAAA
RNAcentral lists this ribosomal RNA (169 nucleotides) under Gnathocharax sp. CBM:ZF:12623. Its description in RNAcentral is "partial 12S rRNA". Lineage: Eukaryota; Metazoa; Chordata; Actinopteri; Characiformes; Characidae. The record is from RNAcentral.